Molecule: microRNA precursor, 57 nt
Filed under: Cavia porcellus (domestic guinea pig)
Lineage: Eukaryota; Metazoa; Chordata; Mammalia; Rodentia; Caviidae
Description: microRNA cpo-mir-506 precursor
Gene: cpo-mir-506
Source: miRBase by way of RNAcentral
UACUUGGAAAGGUGCCAUUCAAUAAAUUACAUUAUGAAGUGCGCCUUCCUGAGUAGA